UUCUCUAGCAUUGAGCGCAUACUCACAUGCAAUUGGCUAAGAAUUUUUUUAUAUUUUAAUUUAUAUAUAUUUCCGACAUCUAUUUCCCAUUACUAACAUAAUUUUCUUUUCUUUUGCAGGUUGAUUACAAUGGUUUUGGUUUUCAGCAAUGAAAACCGUAAAAUAACGACGCCCUUCCAGCUUUAAUAUUCUUGGCAAAAAUUUAUCGCUGGCGGCAUCGCAACGAGGGAUUGGGAAACUUGUGUGGGAGAAGAUCUAUCCCUCCACAACAAUGCACCCAGGUUCUCCUAUGAUUUAUUUUGGAAAUUGAUAUUUUUUAAGGUGGUUAUUGUGGCAUCCACGGUGGAAAAAAUGCCACACUGAGCGAACCAAGCAACAUUUUUUUUCGCAGCAUGGCCGUAUCGCGCCCGCAACAAAUUUGUCGUAGUAUACACAAAUAUCAUAUCAGUCAUUUGGUAUUUGUGUUGUAGCACUGCGUAAAUCAGUCCCAAACAUUUGCGUGGUUUGGCAACAUCCCAAACAGAUAGCCGCUAAAUUCAGGCAAAUACCCCCGUCUGGAGGAACCUAGGCCGGGUUUAAACGUUCACAUGACGAUUUAGAUGGAUGAUCAGACGUAAAAAUUUUCACAAGCUCAGACGGAAGGGAGAGCGGGCACAAUUCCAACUUUGGGGUCAAAAAUCUGGUGUCCCGGGUCCGUCCCCCAUGAAAAAAUAGUUUACCAGAAUCAGGGUAAAAAUACCUACCUCUGAGAACAAUUUUGAAAAAAUUUAAGAGUUUUUACUAAAUUAGAGUUAAGCCUUCAAAGUGUGUACUUAAGUAUGUGCACGAAAAGUACUAAAUGUUAUUAUAUUUGGCAAAAUCUCGAUUUGGAUGAACCGAUAGAGCUGGACUGCUAAAAUUUGGAAAAAAAAAAAGGUAGCAAUUGCACUGAGGUUUGUAGGCUGUUUUUGAAUUUCGUACUUAUGUGUACUAAAUUCGAUGCAAUUUAAUAUUUGACAAAACCAAUAGAGUUGGAAUCAUGACCUGUUGUAUUGCAGGAUUGGAAUAUGUAGUAAAUUUUGGGAAAUUCCUAGUUAUGUGUACUGCAAUGUACUAAAUUUGUUGUAAUUUGUAUUUGAGUGAAUCGAUAGGGGUUGAAUCCUGAAAUUUUGAAUUGGGAUUACUGAGGGAUUGCUGUAUGUAAGUCUUUGGAGAUUCGUACUUAAGUGUACUAAAUAGUACUAAAUUUGGUACUAUUUGGGUUUUGGUAAACCGAUAGAGCUGUGAGAUAUAUAUUGGAUUAAGUGAUACAGAUUGUUACGGAAAUGUGUAGUAAAUGGUACUAAAUUCGAUGCAUUUUGGAUUUGGGUGAACCGAAGGAGCUGGAAUCCUAAAAUUUGAAAUUAAGAUUACUGUUGGAGAGUAGGAUAGGGUUAUGUAGGAAAUUUUGGAAAUUCGUACUCGUGUGUACUACAUGAUACUCGGCCCUAUUAUGGUUGUCGUCGGCGUCGCAAAAUGAAGUCGAGGCGACAAUAAUGAUAUUAGGGUUGUCGUUUUUUGUCGAUAGCGACAAAUGAUUGCUAUUAUAAUUGUCGAUACAACAGUCGACGUGAAGUCGAUUUUUAAGAAAAUCUGUCGCCGUAAAAAAUUGUGACGACAUUGUAUUUUUUAGUCGACGUUGAUAUUGUAACUUUUUUGUAUUUGAUUAUGAAAAUAACAGCAGCAAAACAAUUCGAAAUGUUGGUUUCCGAAUUGAAAAAAAAAAAUACUUUUGGCAAAAGGGUUUACCAAAGGUAAUUUUCCAGCUAAUUUUAAAUCAGAUUGGAAUCCAUUGCAAAAUUAAAUGUAAACAGGUCACCGAUUAGAGACCGGCAAAAAAUAUGUUGAAAUUAAAUUUAUUUUUGUAUGUUUUUAUUAGUUAGUUUUCUUAAGUUCUAGGUUUGGAAAGAUUUAAAAUUUAAAACUAAAAAACAAUUAUGCUCAAUAAGGGUGAAGACAGCAUUUUAAGCAAAUGACUCCAGGUCGUGCACUUGGAGUAAAAAAUACGGAAAACAUAGUUGUAACAGACGUUAUAGAUCAUGAAAAUGAGCCAGUGAACAAUGCUGAUGACGAGACUGAUGUGUAACUACUAUCCAAGCUUCUCGAUCGCCCAGAAACAAACCAUGAUAAAAAGUCAUCAAGAAAAGAAGAAACUACUGAACUCUUGAAAGUGCAGUAUAAACUUUUGGAACUGCACAAUCAAGAGUCAGGCAAUACAAAUAUGUUUGUUUGCUGCCUUAACACUCGCCACUGCACUACUAAUACAUUCUUCUCAUCAUCCUCAAUUGAACUUAAGAUAUGUAACGCAUUUAUAACAUUAAUUUUUUCACUAUAUUUUUUAUUUUUACGAAAGAGUCGAAAUUAGAAUUCAAAAUACAAAAAAAAAUCUUAUUUUGUCAAUAACAAGGGAGUGUUGCCAACGUUUUUUUUAUAAUUGUUGCCAACUUUUAUUUUAAACUGUCGAUGUCGCUUCCAUGCCUUACCGUAAUACCAUUUUUGAAUCAAAGCGACGGUGAGGGCGACUUGCACAUAAAGUCGACAACGACUAUAGAAACGACAACCGUAAUUGGGCCGACUGAAUUUUGUACAAUUUGUAUUUGAGUGAACCGAUAGGGUUGGAAUCCUGAAGUUUGGAAAUAUGAUUUCCUUCGGAUUGUAUGAUUGAUUCCUUUAAAUCACCAUAUAAAAAAUCCACGAAUAUUAACAGAGACUGCGGCCAUUUAAAAAUUUUCCAAAAAUCUAAAUUUAUUGAUCCUUUAUAAAUUCCUUAAAAAUCUCUUAUUGGCAGUCUGAUUUCCUUUCAAAAUUCUUCAAAAACUCCAAGUUUUUUGGUCGGCUUUAGUAAUUUUAUGUAUUAAAAAAAAAUCCAGAUUUAUAAGCAGGCUAUUAUCCUUUAAAAAUACCACGUUGGUUUACAAUACGAAUGGUUAACAGUAUACCCUUAGAACUAUUGUUGUCUUGUUCUAACUUAAUCGUGACAUAUAUGAUUAUGCUACAUUGCUUGAAUGAAAAGGCAAAAUGUUUAAAGUAAAAACAGAUUGAAAUUAUGAGAGAGGCUUGCUCACGGCCUCAAAUGUUACGAACAGAGCGAGAAUGUCUGUAAAUAAAUAAAUAAAGGUUUGAAAUGCGCUCAGGUACAGUUUAGAGCUUAAUAAUAUAAUUAUUGCUUAACCUCUAUGGUUGCCAGGUGCUGAUUUGCUGUAAAAAGGAGGUAGCGUGUAUUCGUUGUUGACAUCUGUGGCUGGUUCGUUUAAUAUACCAAUUGGAGAGAGGUAAUACGGUUCUGGCCACGAUAUGUGCUUUUCCAUUUGGUAGAUUUCAUUCAUUAGUAAGUUUUCAUGGGUUUCGAGUUUUUCCACGAAUUUCUUCUGGUGGCUUUGGAUAUACUUACAAAAAGGCACAACCCUGGACGUGUUGUAUAUAAUUUCUAACUCCUUGGCCACUAUUGGGGAAAUAGAGAACCAGAUCGGAAACCCGUACGCUAAGAUAGAUCUAAUUGCAACUUUGUAGAGAAGUAACUUCGUGUUUUGUGGUAGGUAUUUGCUAUUUAAUAGAUAUGAAAACUUUACUAAUAUACCUUUUGUCUUCUGCAUGACGGACCGUGCGUGUUUAUUGAACUUCAUCAAAUUGGUGAGAGUAAUACCCAGAGAGAUGUUUUAAAGGGAAUCUCAACUCCUUCAAGAGACAGCUGAAGUUCUUUACUCUCUGGAACAACGUUUCUGGGGCAUUUUCCCGAAGCGUUCCGGAAACAUAUUGCUACGGAUUUAUCGGCAUUGAUUUUGAUUCCCCAUUUUUGAUAGAAUUCAUGGAUGCUCUGGAGAUGAGUUCUAGCGUUUUGUAAGGCGUUCUUGGGCGAAAUGUUGUGUGCGUAAAUUAAGCAGUCGUCGGCAUAUAAAAUCGCUUGAGAGCCUUGGCCGAUAUGGGGGAAGUCAUACAGGAAAAUAUUGAAAAGUGAAAAAACUUGCCAUCAACUUGAUCAGGACCGACUCAAAUAACUUCCCGAUGUUGGACAAUAGUGAUAUUGGACGAAAAUUGCUCAAAGUGUUGUCAUUAAUUAUUUUCUUCUUUAUGGGAACAAUUUUCGCCAAUUUCCAGAGUGAUGGGAAAUAUCCAUUGUUGAUGCAGUUGUUGAAGAGACAUGAUUGGUAAAGUGAAAAGAGUCUGGAUUGUUUAAUGAAUUGAAGUUAUCGUCAAAUGAGUAGAUGUGCGGUGGAACGGCGUUGAUGCAUGUUGUGACUCUAGAGCUAAGAUCGUCUACAGGAUUUGUGGGUACAUUUUCUUGAAAAAUUUCAGAAUAAAAUUGUUUAAAAUUAUUAGCAAUUUCGGAACUUUCCGUAAUGGUUUCAUUUCCUAUUUGGAGUUUUUCGCAAAAUGAUGAAUUAUUUUUGCCGGACUCAACUGGAUGGACUCAAAGGAAUCUGAUUAGCGGCCCCAAAAUGACAAACGUUUACAACUAUGUCAAAAUGAUGCCUUCGAGGAGAGUCCACUAUAGUUACAACAGGCUGACAUGAUGACCAGUAAUCUGGAUGAGCAUGGCAAUCAAUUUGGGUUUUAAAACUGUGCCUAAAUAACUGGCAGUUCUCUAGAAUAUGAUGCAAUAGUUAUCCAUGAGAACUGCGUAAACCUAUGGUAAAUGGUAGUUACCGAUGAGGAUAUUCAUUAAAGUCCUUCCAAACUGCACCAAAAGAGAAGUUACUCUCAAUCUUGCUAGUUUAAAGGAACUAUUAUGAUUGAAACUAAAUGUCAUACUCACAUACCUCGUAGAAUAUACCUUGCAAUUUUCAGAAGAUUGUUAUUUAAAUGCCUAUCAGUUGUUACGUAAAGCCCGAUUAAUGACCGAUUUAAAUUCCCUGGCCAAUUAUCCGUUG
Long non-coding RNA from Musca domestica (house fly), 4886 nucleotides. RefSeq lists it as uncharacterized. The record is from RefSeq and is a predicted model, not a curated record. Lineage: Eukaryota; Metazoa; Arthropoda; Insecta; Diptera; Muscidae. The transcript has 11 exons.